This 455-nucleotide unclassified non-coding RNA is filed under the name Hevea brasiliensis (rubber tree). The record is from RNAcentral. Lineage: Eukaryota; Viridiplantae; Streptophyta; Magnoliopsida; Malpighiales; Euphorbiaceae.
GUAUAGUUCAUUUACCUUCUCCUUUGCUUCUGCAAAGAUCUCCUGGUUCAAAGGAAGCUGCCUAAACCCAGCCCUUAAAGCCCGAACCUGCCACUGCUUGUAUGUCUCUGGCCUCUCAAUUCUCUCAGCACCUUCACAUGCAAUGACAUUCAUUGCUUCCCAUCCAAAAAUAUCUCUCUCAAUCAGCAUCCUCUCUGGGAUUUCACGAGGCACAAUAGCCUCCAGCAUAUCAAACAGAGUUGAAUAGUGGAAGAGAGCCUCUCGGAAUCGCGUGAUAAAGAAUGGAGCGCUAUAUGCUCCAUUCACUAUCCCAGUUAUGAAGACAUCUGGGUUCAUCUUCCUGAUCAGAUUGAGAACAAUAUUUCUUGGACUCUCCACCACCACAGUCUCAUCAAGUAAGUUUCUUAAUCGCAACACACAGUUCACUACAAGAACCUCAUCUCUACCAAUCUUGA